This 491-nucleotide ribosomal RNA is filed under the name uncultured bacterium. RNAcentral's name for it is "partial 16S ribosomal RNA". It matches the Rfam family "Bacterial small subunit ribosomal RNA", at positions 30 to 507 of the family's 1533-position model. The record is from RNAcentral.
UUGAACGCUGGCGGCAUGCUUUACACAUGCAAGUCGAACGGUAACAGGCCUUCGGGUGCUGACGAGUGGCGAACGGGUGAGUAAUGCAUCGGAACGUACCCAGAGGUGGGGGAUAACGCAGCGAAAGCUGUGCUAAUACCGCAUGUGAUCUGAGGAUGAAAGCGGGGGACCGAGCAGCAAUGUUUGGCCUCGCGCCUUUGGAGCGGCCGAUGUCGGAUUAGCUUGUUGGUGGGGUAAAGGCCUACCAAGGCGACGAUCCGUAGCAGGUCUGAGAGGACGACCAGCCACACUGGGACUGAGACACGGCCCAGACUCCUACGGGAGGCAGCAGUGGGGAAUUUUGGACAAUGGGCGCAAGCCUGAUCCAGCAAUGCCGCGUGCGGGAAGAAGGUCUUCGGGUUGUAAACCGCUUUUGGCAGGAACGAAACGGUGUCCGCUAAUACCGGGCGCUAAUGACGGUACCUGCAGAAUAAGCACCGGCUAACUACGUG